GUUGGCAUUGACCCAAAAGUAAGUUGUUAUCACCUUAAAAUUGAUCCCAAGUUUGCCUCGAAUAGACAAAAGUGAAGACCUUUCAACCUUGAAAGGUAUGAAGCCCUGAGGAAGAGGUUGAAAAGUUGAUAACCAAUGGCUUCAUUAGAGAAACCUUAUAUCUGAGGUGGAUCUCCAAUCUAGUCCUCUUGAAGAAGCAUAGUGGCAAGUGGAGAGGAUAUAUAGAUUUCUCCAAACAUAACCAAGAUUGCCCAAAGUUUCUUUAUUCUAAGGGUGGAUUAACAAGUGGAUGCCACCGUGUAGUAUGAAUUGUUGAUUUUUAUAUACGCAUUUUAAGGCUAUAAUUAGACUUAUAUAUGCAUCUCGCAUAGGAGAAAAACACUUUUUCAUCAUUGAUAUAGGCAUCUAUGCUAAAAGGUAAUGUCAUUUGGGCUAAAAAACACCUAAGUUACCUAUUAAAGACUUGUCAACUAGAUGUUUGCGGACCUCAUUAGUAAAAUCAUGAAGGAAUACAUGGAUGAUAUGCUCAUAAAGAACCUAAAAAAUGACCAUGUCAAGCACCUAGAUGCUACUUUCCAAAUCAUGAAGAGGUAAAAAU
RNAcentral lists this long non-coding RNA (598 nucleotides) under Olea europaea subsp. europaea. Lineage: Eukaryota; Viridiplantae; Streptophyta; Magnoliopsida; Lamiales; Oleaceae. The record is from RNAcentral.